This 776-nucleotide non-coding RNA is filed under the name Scolytinae sp. BMNH 1040174. Lineage: Eukaryota; Metazoa; Arthropoda; Insecta; Coleoptera; Curculionidae. The record is from RNAcentral.
UAAAAGUUUUUUUGCUUUGGGGUUUCAAAAAAUUUUGAGUUAAAUGCAAGUUUUGGCAUUAAAAAGAGGGUUAUUUAAAUAAUUAUUUCAUUUUGAUUGGGCAGUCAUUAAUAUUAUAUAUUCGGGGGGCCGAGAUAUAGUGGAAAUUUUUAGUAUAAACAAAAUUUGUGCCAGCAGUUGCGGUUACACAAAUUAUACAAUGAAAUUUUGUUGGGUAUAGUUAACAUAUUAUAGUACUUAGAUAAAAAAAAAAUUUAUUAGGUGAAAUUUUAAAUUUUUAUAAAUCUUAAUUUUGUAUGUGAGGCUAGUAAAUUUUAUAAAAGACUAGGAUUAGAUACCCUAUUAUAAAAAUUAAUAUGUAAAACCUAAAUUAUUAGUAGUUAAGUUCUUGAAAAUUAAUGAAGAUGGCGGUAUUUUAGUCUAUUCAGAGGAAUCUGCCCUGUAAUUGAUAUUCCACGAUUUAAAUUACUUAAAUUUUUAGUUUAUAUAUCGCUGUGAAUUGAACAUUUCUUAUGAAUUUUAAUGUUCAGGAUUUUUAUUAGAAAGAAUAUCAAGUCAAGAUGUAGCUUAUAUUUAAGUAGAGGUGGAUUACAAUAGUUUUAUUUGUGGUUAGUUUAUUGAAAAAUUUAUUAUAAAAUGGAUUUGAAAGUAAUUCUUUAUUAAAAUUUGAAGGAUGAUUAUAGCUCUAAAAUAUGUACAUAUCGCCCGUCGCUUUCACUACAAAGUGGAAUAAGUCGUAACAUAGUAGAUGUACUGGAAAGUGUCUCUAGAAGGCA